AAUUUGGAAAGGGGUCUGCGGUCUAAAAAUGGGCCGCCGGCCGCUCGGGCACCUGAAGGGACAGAAGCGGGCGCAGGAGCCCCAACAAGCCACGGCGGAGCGGGACGGUCCGUCCAGCGGCGGCCUCCGCAUGGCCCCACCGUGAGCGGCUGGACCCAGCGACUGGGAGCCAGAGCGAAGCUUCAUCCACACACCAGGUCAACAGUACUGACUGGACCCCCACCUCAGACCAUACGCUGGAGAAGGGUGAUUCAACAGACGUCAGGGUGGGCGUGGCGUGAGCCGCACCUCAAGACAGGUGCCGUCAGGGCGGAGGAGAAGCCCAAGGAAGAAAGGGGGGGGGCACCUGGACCACAGCUGGCCUGAAACGUGGGCUGACAGCUGGCCUUUCCUCAAGGGCACUGGGACUCCUGGC
This 415-nucleotide long non-coding RNA is filed under the name Sus scrofa (pig). RNAcentral's name for it is "lncRNA (ENSSSCG00070000041.1)". Lineage: Eukaryota; Metazoa; Chordata; Mammalia; Artiodactyla; Suidae. The record is from RNAcentral.